CAGGAGAGGAAGGUAGAAUUCCCGGUGUAGCGGUGAAAUGCGUAGAGAUCGGGAGGAAUACCAGUGGCGAAGGCGGCCUUCUGGACUGACACUGACACUGAGGUGCGAAAGCGUGGGUAGCAAACAGGAUUAGAUACCCUGGUAGUCCACGCCGUAAACGAUGUCGACCAGCCGUUGGGUGCCUAGCGCACUUUGUGGCGAAGUUAACGCGAUAAGUCGACCGCCUGGGGAGUACGGCCGCAAGGUUAAAACUCAAAUGAAUUGACGGGGGCCCGCACAAGCGGUGGAGCAUGUGGUUUAAUUCGAUGCAACGCGAAGAACCUUACCUACUCUUGACAUCCUGCGAACUUGUGAGAGAUCACUUGGUGCCUUCGGGAGCGCAGAGACAGGCGCUGCAUGGCUGUCGUCAGCUCGUGUUGUGAAAUGUUGGGUUAAGUCCCGUAACGAGCGCAACCCUUGUCCUUAUUUGCCAGCGGGUAAUGCCGGGAACUCUAAGGAGACUGCCGGUGACAAACCGGAGGAAGGUGGGGACGACGUCAAGUCAUCAUGGCCCUUACGAGUAGGGCUACACACGUGCUACAAUGGCCGGUACAAAGGGUUGCGAGCUCGCGAGAGUCAGCUAAUCCCGAAAAGCCGGUCUCAGUCCGGAUCGGAGUCUGCAACUCGACUCCGUGAAGUCGGAAUCGCUAGUAAUCGUGAAUCAGAAUGUCACGGUGAAUACGUUCCCGGGCCUUGCACACACCGCCCGU
This 749-nucleotide ribosomal RNA is filed under the name uncultured bacterium. Its description in RNAcentral is "bacterial SSU rRNA". It matches the Rfam family "Bacterial small subunit ribosomal RNA", at positions 649 to 1397 of the family's 1533-position model. The record is from RNAcentral.